Molecule: ribosomal RNA, 486 nt
Filed under: uncultured bacterium
Lineage: Bacteria
Description: partial 16S ribosomal RNA
Rfam family: Bacterial small subunit ribosomal RNA
Source: RNAcentral
GACGAACGCUGGCUGCGUGCUUAACACAUGCAAGUCGAACGCUGAAGCCCGCAGCUUGCUGUGGGUGGAUGAGUGGCGAACGGGUGAGUAACACGUGAGUAACCUGCCCCUGACUUCGGGAUAAGCCCGGGAAACUGGGUCUAAUACCGGAUACGACCAUCGGACGCCUGUCUGGUGGUGGAAAGUUUUUUCGGUUGGGGAUGGGCUCGCGGCCUAUCAGUUUGUUGGUGAGGGAAGGGCCCACCAAGACGACGACGGGUAGCCGGCCUGGGAGGGCGACGGGCCACACUGGGACUGAGACACGGCCCAGACUCCUACGGGAGGCAGCAGUGGGGAAUAUUGCACAAUGGGGGAAACCCUGAUGCAGCGACGCAGCGUGCGGGAUGACGGCCUUCGGGUUGUAAACCGCUUUCAGCAGGGAAGAAGCGAAAGUGACGGUACCUGCAGAAGAAGUACCGGCUAACUACGUGCCAGCAGCCGCCGUAA